Molecule: long non-coding RNA, 655 nt
Organism: Eptesicus fuscus (big brown bat)
Lineage: Eukaryota; Metazoa; Chordata; Mammalia; Chiroptera; Vespertilionidae
Exons: 3
Source: RefSeq, a predicted model, not a curated record
GAUAAGCUGAACCACUGUUUAAUCACAACUGAACGAGAGACUACAAGCAAGAACCACCAACGAAUCCCAGACAACCCACAGAAAUGGAUUGACUUCCGAGCUCACGUAAUGAAUAGUUACAGUGGCUCUAAUGACAGCACUUCCUGGACUCGAUGAAUGCCCAGCAGGAAGCUCUUGAACAUGGCAAGGGGCAAAUACCAGAUGGCCAAAGUCAAAGAGGUGCUUGCACCAAUGUCACCACAAAUUGCCCAUUAUUUAGACAAAAACCAUCAUCGACAUCCUACAGUGCCAAAGAGGACACUAACAACUGGAUUCGUGACUCUAAGGCUUUCAACAUGGACAACGUCAAGUGGCUGAGUUGGAAAUUGUGCUGCAUAUGCAAUUAGAACCCCUGUGGAGGCCACGGAAUCCAAUUACAGUUGCAAAGUCAUAUAACAAUAUGAGGGCCUAUCCUGAUGAAAACAAGAUUUCACUAAGUUCACUGAAGAUGGAGGUGGAAUAAUGCUGAGGUGUGAACUUCUCAAUUAUGCAUCCAGUUCCAAGGAAAGAGGGGCCUCUGUGAGAUACUUGUGAAUUUUCUCGCUCUGGAAAUAUUGAAUGUGAAUCCUCUCAGAUUCCUGGAGGAUACAGUUCUAAACGUGAAUAAAUAAGAAGG